Molecule: RNA transcript, 1788 nt
Organism: Eucalyptus grandis
Lineage: Eukaryota; Viridiplantae; Streptophyta; Magnoliopsida; Myrtales; Myrtaceae
Gene name: phosphoribosylglycinamide formyltransferase, chloroplastic
Exons: 6
Source: RefSeq, a predicted model, not a curated record
CUCUCUCACUUCGCAUUUCGCCGCCUACGCUCCUUGCCUCUCCCCCUCUCUCCCCUCGUCGCUCCGACCGCCGUCGCCCGCCCCACGGCGGCGCUGAACCGCGGCGGCGGCGGCGACCAAGGAGGGCAACCGCCGCCACCGCAAUCUACUCCGACGGCACGCGCCCACGCAUUUUCCCCGGCCGUCGUUUCGCUGCUGAUCUCCAUUUCACAAGAAUCAGAGAUCAACUCUGGAGUGCGCAAUCAUCGCUUCUGGCUCUCUUUGCAGGUCGAAUUUGUCGUGGGCUGAAUUAGUUCAUUGGACCACCUUCGCCUUUGCAUGGUGCCGGAAUGGAAAAUUGAGUUCUUGACUUGACUCUAGUUUCUUGGUAGUUCAAUCCCUGGGCCAGGGUAGGCGAAGAUGGAGUCUUUUGGUCCUGGGUUGCGCACAAGUUUGAAACUUCCGGUAAUCCGAAACACCCCAGAAUCGUUGUUCUUGCGGCUGCCUUCGUUUUGUUCUGGCCGUCUUGCUCGAACUAGCAAUUGCUUGUCACUGAGAACCCGGAACCGGUUGGCUUUUCGAGGUUCUUGUCUGAACGAUAGGUUAGAAUCUGGUGGUCGCGUGGAAAUAGCGGCGAGUCUGAGUUCUGAGGGUGAGGAUGUGAAACAUGGAGUGAAGAAGAAGAAGUUGGCGGUUUUUGUGUCUGGAGGGGGAUCGAACUUUCGGUCCAUCCAUGAGGCUUGUAUUGCAGGAUCAGUUCAUGGAGAAGUCGUUGUUUUAGUGACUAACAAAGGAGGCUGUGGAGGUGCAGUCUAUGCUAGAGACAAUGACAUCCCUGUUGUUUUAUUCCCUAGAACUAAAGAAGAACCAAAUGGACUAUUUGCAAGUGAUCUGGUGGCUGCUCUAAGGAGAUAUGAGGUUGAUUUCAUUCUCCUUGCCGGGUACCUGAAACUCAUACCUAUGGAAUUGAUUCAGGCAUAUCCCAAAUCAAUUCUUAAUAUCCAUCCAUCACUUCUUCCUGCUUUUGGAGGAAAGGGUUACUUUGGAAUGAAGGUGCACAAAGCAGUCAUUGCUUCUGGGGCUAGAUAUUCAGGGCCUACAAUUCACUUUGUUGAUGAGCAUUAUGACACGGGACGCAUUCUUGCUCAAAGAGUCGUCCCAGUGUUGGCUACUGACACUGCAGAGGAACUGGCUGCAAGGGUUCUCAAAGAGGAGCAUCGUUUAUAUGUGGAGGCAGUCGCCGCAAUAUGUCAAGGGAGAAUAGUUUGGAGGGAAGAUGGCGUUCCCCUCAUACAGAGCAUAGACGAUCCCAAUUUAUACAGUUAGUCAAACUAUUUAUCAGCUAUCGGUAUGGCCUAAACUUUAUUAUUGUGAUACAUAUUUCUCCUCAUCAGAAUAUACCUGCUCACAGCAAAAAGGAAGUUUGAGUUACUGAAGAAUUUUCUUGUUUUUGGGAGGCUGCCUGAUCUAUACUCUUUAUUCAUCUUGGAUUGUGAAGAGCUCAACUGUUUCAAUACCGUUGUGGCCUAAUCUGCAUACUAUAUGUGGGUGUAAUGGUGAGUUGAUGAUCCUUUAGCUUACUAGAAGUUACAGAACCAAGGUCUUAGCUCCGCAUUGUAUACUACAUGGGACAGAAAACCCAAUGCGUUCUGUGGCAGGUUCUUUUUUUUCUUCUGGUUCUAUGUUUCUUUUGCCAUUUUAUUCUUUGGCCAUAGUUGUGCACUAUUCUUCCUAUGGCUUAUGUAGAAAAGCUGGAGCUUUCAUCAAGUGUGGCCUCACUCAAUCAACUGAUGUUUCUAGUUUAAGUCC